GUACUGCUGAGGAGUCCCAAACUAGGACGAAAUAGCUUUCCAGUAC
This 46-nucleotide non-coding RNA is filed under the name Trichobilharzia regenti. The record is from RNAcentral. Lineage: Eukaryota; Metazoa; Platyhelminthes; Trematoda; Strigeidida; Schistosomatidae.